AACGAACGCUGGCGGCAGGCUUAACACAUGCAAGUCGAACGCUCGUGAGCGAUCACGGGAGUGGCAGACGGGUGAGUAACGCGUGGGAACAUACCCUCCGGUUCGGAAUAACUCAGGGAAACUUGAGCUAAUACCGGAUACGGCUUAGCGGCGAAAGAUUGAUCGCCGGAGGAUUGGCCCGCGUUCGAUUAGCUAGUUGGUGAGGUAACGGCUCACCAAGGCGACGAUCGAUAGCUGGUCUGAGAGGAUGAUCAGCCACAUUGGGACUGA
RNAcentral lists this ribosomal RNA (270 nucleotides) under uncultured bacterium. RNAcentral describes it as "partial 16S ribosomal RNA". It matches the Rfam family "Bacterial small subunit ribosomal RNA", at positions 29 to 322 of the family's 1533-position model. The record is from RNAcentral.